RNAcentral lists this ribosomal RNA (253 nucleotides) under uncultured prokaryote. RNAcentral's name for it is "partial 16S ribosomal RNA". It matches the Rfam family "Bacterial small subunit ribosomal RNA", at positions 524 to 776 of the family's 1533-position model. The record is from RNAcentral.
UACAGAGGUCUCAAGCGUUGUUCGGAUUCAUUGGGCGUAAAGGGUGCGUAGGUGGCGUGGUAAGUCGGGUGUGAAAUCCCGGGGCUCAACCCCGGGACUGCAUUCGAUACUGCCGUGCUUGAGGACUGGAGAGGAGACUGGAAUUUACGGUGUAGCAGUGAAAUGCGUAGAGAUCGUAAGGAAGACCAGUGGCGAAGGCGGGUCUCUGGACAGUUCCUGACACUGAGGCACGAAGGCCAGGGGAGCAAACGGG